Molecule: ribosomal RNA, 253 nt
Filed under: uncultured bacterium
Lineage: Bacteria
Description: partial 16S ribosomal RNA
Rfam family: Bacterial small subunit ribosomal RNA
Source: RNAcentral
UACGUAGGGCGCAAGCGUUGUCCGGAAUUAUUGGGCGUAAAGAGCUCGUAGGCGGCCAGUUGCGUCUGCUGUGAAAUCCCGGGGCUCAACCCCGGGCGUGCAGUGGAUACGGGCUGGCUAGAGGCAGGCAGGGGAGAACGGAAUUCCCGGUGUAGCGGUGAAAUGCGCAGAUAUCGGGAGGAACACCGGUGGCGAAGGCGGUUCUCUGGGCCAAUAUUGACGCUGAGGUGCGAAAGCGUGGGGAGCAAACAGG